RNAcentral lists this non-coding RNA (28 nucleotides) under Mus musculus (house mouse). The record is from RNAcentral. Lineage: Eukaryota; Metazoa; Chordata; Mammalia; Rodentia; Muridae.
UGAUGAUGCUCCACGGUAAUAUCUACAC